Long non-coding RNA from Solea solea (common sole), 3842 nucleotides. RefSeq lists it as uncharacterized. NCBI's taxonomy places the organism in Eukaryota, Metazoa, Chordata, Actinopteri, Pleuronectiformes, Soleidae. The record is from RefSeq and is a predicted model, not a curated record. The transcript has 3 exons.
GAGAGAGGGAGAGGGAUGGGGGAGGAGGGGGGGGUCCAGGAGGAAGAGGUCAGAAACAAGACUUUCCUCAAACAAGGACGAGUCUGAGACGAGGAGACAUGAUGAUGUUGAGAGGAACAGAGACAAGAGUGAUGGUCAACAAGAGAGAGGAGAGGAAACAAGAGGGGAGGAUAGGAAACAAGAGGAGAGGGAACAAGAGGGCAGGAGAGAAGAGGAGAGGGAACAAGAGGGCAGGAGAGGUGAAGAAACAAGAAGAGAGGAGAUGGAGGAAGUAGGGAAGGAAGCAAGGAGGCAACGGAUGGGAGUGCAGUACGACACGUCUCCAUGGUAACCGCUGACUGUCGUGUGAGCGCCCCCUGCUGCUGACAGUCGUCUUGCUGUUGCUGUUGAAACAAAUCACUUCCUGUGUGCAGCGUGAGGAGUGUCACCGGGUGACACGAACGCUCCGACAAUCGUCGUUGGGUAAGUUUCCCUUAAGUUUCCUCUUAAACAUUACCUUAGUAACGCUGCACCUCCGGCUGGUUCCAUACAGGGGGCAGUGUAAGCACAUGUGUGUCUAUAAAUCAUAAUAACAUCAAUAACAUCGUUCUUUUUAGUGACAUCAUAUUUAGAAUCAGUUACGUUUUUCAAAACAUUUGUGGUCGCAUAAAAAACCUGUUUUUGUGACAUAAGCGUUCUCAGAUUUUUUGAAAACAGUCUUUAGUAAAUCAUUUUGUGACAUGAGUAACAACAGUAUCCUGUUUGUGUGAGUGCAACAUUUUUAUAAGUUUUUGUUUUUUGCUCACGUAAAAUCUGACACAUUUACUCGCUGACGCCGUCUAAUCUCGCUGACGCCGUCUAAUCCAGCACCCUUUCAUUUUUCGGGAGGUUACAAAGUUACAUGCUGCAGCUUUUAAUGUCGUAAUCCAGGCUUUCUCACAGAUUAUUAUUAUUGUUGUCAUAAUCUUGGGGAUUAAAGCAGGUGCCGUGCGUCCUGUAUGAAGGACACAGGAAGUGAAGUCAGACAAUAAUCCUGUCCUUCAUCAGUUAACUUCACCUUGUCUAAAAUUGUCCAAUCUAAAGAGAUGAAUGUGUUCAUAGCGUCCUCAGCGUCCACUGUGUCCUCAGCGUCCACUGCGUCCUCAGCGUCCACCGUCUUGUUCUUCCUGUCAGUGAUUCAUGAGCUCAGCUCCCUGUGGAUCCGCCCACUUUUCAUCCUUAUUUAUAGUUUCAUGUGUUAAAACAGAACAACGACCAACGCUGAGUCACAGCAGAGGACGAUUCAUGAGACAGACACAGAGAGAGACAGUCAGACAGACAGAGAGAGAGACAGACAGUAUGAAGAUCAGCAGCUUCAGCAGAGACAGUCUGAUCUGUCAUCACAGUCCUGUGUCCACCAGUGUCUCCAGGGACAUGAGACCAGCAGCUGCCGAUCACAUGACCUGAUCACAUGACCCGUGUUUCCAUCCAAGUGUUGAUUGAACUCAUGUGUGUGCAAAUCAAACAUUUGUGUGUAAGUGAGUCUUUAACUGUGUGACUGUGUGUGUGUGGGAUUAGUUUGACAUCUUUUAUAUUUUUUAUUUCUAUUUGUUUGUUUUUUCACUUUAAAUUGAAGAAAAAAGUAUUUUAAAAACCUCUUUCAUGUCAAAACAAAAUAAAUAGGAAACACAAAGAUGAAAUGAUAGAUAAUGCAGUAAAAUCCAUAACAUGCACUUUUGCACUUGCCAAAAAGUGAUCCCAGCUCCUUCUUACUAACAUAAAGGUUUUAUUCUGCCUCAAAACGUCCUGAUAUCACUCAUGAGGGGAAUAUUUGACACACCAAGUCGCUCCACUUCAGCCUUUUUUUUAUCUUUGAGGUGGAAAUACAACCCAUAACAUGUUAGUUUCCACUUGCUAAAAAGUGAACCGUGACAUUAUUUCUGCCUCAGAAUGACUUGGUUUCAUUCACGCUGCUAAUAUUUGGCAGAUUAUACCUCACAAAGUCCCUUUUUCCUGUUAGAAUAGCCUUAAAGGGCCAGUACAGCCGCCACGUGUGAUCACUGACAGCUCAGAAAUAUAACAACACUAAAGACGCGCGUGUUUAUUUAACCUGUAAAUCAUUAAACACACUGUUGUUUUAAAACGUCUGACUUUUACACAUCAGAGUGUUUGUCCUCAAACACACACACACACACACACACACACACACACACACACACGCACACACAGACAGAUUUGACACCCACCACCCGUGGUUACAGUUUUACAGCCUUCCUCCCUCCGUGGGUGUGAUUCCCGUCACUGUGGGGUGUGUGUGUGUGUGUGUGUGUGUGUGUGUGUGUGAAAGUGCUAAAAAGCCUUCCCAGUAAACUCUGUGUCGUUGUUGUGUCUUGUUGUGCAAAUGUUUUGAGGGAAAGUUUGCCGACGCCGGCGCGCAGCGAGGUACAACAGUGUAGUGAGAGCGGGCAGCGGUGGGAGGGGCUGGUGGCGGGAGCCACAGGGAGAGCGCCAAACGCGUCUGCAGGUCACAGGUCAUAGGUCACAGGCCACGCCUCCAGCAUGUUACAGUUGGUCCAGGUAAACACGCCACGCCAUCGUUAAAGUUCGCUUCAGUCCUGGUUCAGACGACAAACGACGGCGUGGAACGACAGAGCGACGACGGAGCGACGACGGAGCGACGACAGAGCGACGACGGAGCGACGACAGAGCGACGACGGAGCACGUCCAAACAUGGCGGCCAUUCCAGAGUUUGCUCACAUGACUUAAUACUCACACACACACAACAUGUGGUCAUUGUUUGUCUGUUUUUGUCUCUUUGUGGUUGUUUUGUGUCUCUUUUUUAAUGAUAAAACGUUCCGAUGUUACAGCACAUGUUUACGAUAUUUACCCGCUGAAGAAAUGUCGUUGUUUUGUCGCGUUUGUAAAUACAAUUGGUUUUAUUACUGUAUUUUAUUGAUGGUUUUGUGUGAAAUAAUUCGUUUUUUUGUGUUUGUGGAGAGAGCUGUAUAAGGUUGUAGUUGCUUUGUGCGAACACAGGAGGGCGCUCCAUACACAUUCAAUGAAGGAAAUCUAGGGAUGCGUGCAUUGCAUGCUGGGAGAGAGAGAGAGAGAGAGACGACACUGAUGCUCCCACGAUCUUUUAACGAGCAGGAUUAUUAACACUUUGUGGAAGGAGUGCAGUUUUAUUUCCACAGACAGACACAAGUGUGUUUGUGUUUCUGAGUUGUCACGACAGGGUUCCAGGACAGCGGCGACCGGAACCGGAACCGGAACUUGCUGUAUUUUGUUUUAACAACUCAACACUCCGAAGUUGCUGAAUCUACAUGGAGGCGACAGCGUUGAUUGCGACCAGGGUUUCCGUCCGAGACGGGUCUGGAUUUGAGACGACCCAGAGUGCACCUGGAGCAACUCGCAUACUACCCGGGUAGCACACAUGCACACACUGACUUUGGACCUGACUGGCCAGACUUUUAUAUUAACAGCAAUAAGCUGUCAGAGGACACUGUAUUUUGUUCUUUUGUUUUUUUAUUUUUUUGUGAAUCCAUGUGGAGAUUUAAAAAAAGAAUAGAGCUGAAUGAUAGACAGCAGAUUCAUUUGAUUUAAUAAUAAAAAAUAAGGUAUUAAAGUAAGAAAUCAUUGUGUCAAGUAUGUGAGUGAGAAAGCUCGCCUGUUAUUUUUAUCAUAUAUUAACGAGUUGGUAACAAAAGGCCUCCUCAGGAGAAACACCACAUAUGUUCCACUGCAACACUUUGGAAUAAAUUACCAAACAGUCUUUAUUUAAUCAUCUGUGAGGCUGUCGCCUCUGUGCGCCGCGCCGCCGUCUCCUGCUCCACGCUGCAAAAGAUGACGAGACCACGUCCUGGAGAACAUCUGGGACUAACUCA